This 68-nucleotide transfer RNA is filed under the name Marmota monax (woodchuck). Its description in RNAcentral is "tRNA.Ala". Lineage: Eukaryota; Metazoa; Chordata; Mammalia; Rodentia; Sciuridae. The record is from RNAcentral.
GCUGUGGCUCAUCGGCAGAGUGCUUGCCUAGCAUGCAUGAGGCAUUGGGUUCGAUCCUCAGCACAACA